GAUGAACGCUGGCGGCGUGCUUAACACAUGCAAGUCGAACGGAAAGGCCCAAGCUUGCUUGGGUGCUCGAGUGGCGAACGGGUGAGUAACACGUGGGUGAUCUGCCCUGCACUUUGGGAUAAGCCUGGGAAACUGGGUCUAAUACCGGAUAGGACCAUCGUUUAGUGUCGGUGGUGGAAAGUUUUUCGGUGUGGGAUGAGCUCGCGGCCUAUCAGCUUGUUGGUGGGGUAAUGGCCUACCAAGGCGUCGACGGGUAGCCGGCCUGAGAGGGUGUACGGCCACAUUGGGACUGAGAUACGGCCCAGGCUCCUACGGGAGGCAGCAGUGGGGAAUAUUGCACAAUGGGCGCAAGCCUGAUGCAGCGACGCCGCGUGGGGGAGGACGGCCUUCGGGUUGUAAACUCCUUUCGCCAAGGACGAAGCGUUUUGUGACGGUACUUGGAGAAGAAGCACCGGCUAACUACGUG
This 466-nucleotide ribosomal RNA is filed under the name uncultured bacterium. RNAcentral's name for it is "partial 16S ribosomal RNA". It matches the Rfam family "Bacterial small subunit ribosomal RNA", at positions 28 to 507 of the family's 1533-position model. The record is from RNAcentral.